This is a non-coding RNA of Potamilus streckersoni, 73 nucleotides long. The record is from the annotation of a GenBank genome assembly. Lineage: Eukaryota; Metazoa; Mollusca; Bivalvia; Unionida; Unionidae.
GCUUUGGUGGCCUAGUUUUUAGAGCGUCCACCUCGGAUGUGGGAGGUCGCGAGUUGGAGCCCCGGCCGAGUCG